UACGGGAGGCAGCAGUGGGGAAUAUUGCGCAAUGGGCGAAAGCCUGACGCAGCGACGCCGCGUGGGGGAGGAAGGCCUCAGGGUUGUAAACCCCUGUCAGGUGGGACGAACCCCGAAUCGAGUAAUACACGGUUCGAUUGACGGUACCACCAGAGGAAGCUCCGGCUAACUCCGUGCCAGCAGCCGCGGUAAU
RNAcentral lists this ribosomal RNA (193 nucleotides) under uncultured bacterium. Its description in RNAcentral is "partial 16S ribosomal RNA". It matches the Rfam family "Bacterial small subunit ribosomal RNA", at positions 340 to 524 of the family's 1533-position model. The record is from RNAcentral.